AAGGUUUGACAUGGAGGGCAAAGUUGAAGAAAUUCAACGGAGGUUAUCCGACACAGGUGGUGCAUGGUCGUCGUCAGUUCGUGCUGUGAAGCAUAUGCUUAAGUGCUAUAACGAACGCAACCCUCGUAUUUAGUUACUAUCAUUCAGUUGAGAACUCUAAAUAGACUGCUAAGGUAACUUAGAGGAAGGAGAGGAUGACGUCUGAUCAUCAUGCCCCUUAUAUCUUGGGCUACA
This 234-nucleotide ribosomal RNA is filed under the name uncultured bacterium. RNAcentral's name for it is "partial 16S ribosomal RNA". It matches the Rfam family "Bacterial small subunit ribosomal RNA", at positions 976 to 1218 of the family's 1533-position model. The record is from RNAcentral.